Molecule: ribosomal RNA, 253 nt
Filed under: uncultured bacterium
Lineage: Bacteria
Description: partial 16S ribosomal RNA
Rfam family: Bacterial small subunit ribosomal RNA
Source: RNAcentral
UACGUAGGGUGCAAGCGUUAAUCGGAAUUACUGGGCGUAAAGCGUGCGCAGGCGGUUAUGUAAGACAGUUGUGAAAUCCCCGGGCUCAACCUGGGAACUGCAUCUGUGACUGCAUAGCUAGAGUACGGUAGAGGGGGAUGGAAUUCCGCGUGUAGCAGUGAAGUGCGUAGAUAUGCGGAGGAACACCGAUGGCGAAGGCAAUCCCCUGGACCUGUACUGACGCUCAUGCACGAAAGCGUGGGGAGCAAACAGG